Molecule: ribosomal RNA, 332 nt
Filed under: uncultured bacterium
Lineage: Bacteria
Description: bacterial SSU rRNA
Rfam family: Bacterial small subunit ribosomal RNA
Source: RNAcentral
CGCGUAGGUGGUUCGAUCAGUCGGAGGUGAAAGCCCUCGGCUCAACCGAGGAUCCGCGUCCGAUACUGUCGAACUUGAGUGCAGGAGAGGAGAGCGGAAUUCCCAGUGUAGCGGUGAAAUGCGUAGAUAUUGGGAGGAACACCGGUGGCGAAGGCGGCUCUCUGGACUGCCACUGACACUGAGGCGCGAAAGCUAGGGGAGCAAACGGGAUUAGAUACCCCGGUAGUCCUAGCCGUAAACGAUGGGCACUAGGUGUGGGAGGUAUCGACCCCUUCCGUGCCGCAGCUAACGCAUUAAGUGCCCCGCCUGGGGAGUACGGCCGCAAGGUUGAA